GCCUGGCUGUCUCAGUUGGUAGUGUGUGUGACUCUUGAUCUCAGGGUUGUGAGUUCGAGCCCCACGUUGGGUU
RNAcentral lists this transfer RNA (73 nucleotides) under Felis catus (domestic cat). It matches the Rfam family "tRNA". Rfam says of the family: Transfer RNA (tRNA) molecules are approximately 80 nucleotides in length. RNAcentral also lists the same sequence under 5 other names. Lineage: Eukaryota; Metazoa; Chordata; Mammalia; Carnivora; Felidae. The record is from Rfam by way of RNAcentral.